UACAGAGGGUGCAAGCGUUGUUCGGAAUUAUUGGGCGUAAAGCGCGCGCAGGCGGCCUUUUAAGUCUGAUGUGAAAUCUUGCGGCUCAACCGCAAGCGGCCAUUGGAAACUGGGAGGCUUGAGUACAGAAGAGGAGAGUGGAAUUCCACGUGUAGCGGUGAAAUGCGUAGAUAUGUGGAGGAACACCAGUGGCGAAGGCGACUCUCUGGUCUGUAACUGACGCUGAGGCGCGAAAGCGUGGGGAGCAAACAGG
Molecule: ribosomal RNA, 253 nt
Filed under: uncultured bacterium
Lineage: Bacteria
Description: partial 16S ribosomal RNA
Rfam family: Bacterial small subunit ribosomal RNA
Source: RNAcentral